AUACGUAGGUGGCAAGCGUUAUCCGGAAUUACUGGGUGUAAAGGGCGCGCAGGCGGCCUUGCAAGUCGGAUGUGAAAGAUCAAGGCUCAACCUUGACAGGUCAUCCGAAACUGUAAGACUUGAGUGUCAGAGGGGAAAGUGGAAUUCCUAGUGGAGCGGUAAAAUGCGCAGAUAUUAGGAGGAACACCGGUGGCGAAGGCGACUUUCUGGCUGACAACUGACGCUGAGGCGCGAAAGCGUGGGGAGCAAACAGGAUUAGAUACCCUGGUAGUCCACGCCGUAAACGAUGAUUACUAGGUGUAGGGGGUAUCGACUCCCUCUGUGCCACAGUUAACGCAGUAAGUAAUCCACCUGGGGAGUACGGCCGCAAGGUUAAAACUCAAAGGAAUUGACGGGG
This 397-nucleotide ribosomal RNA is filed under the name uncultured bacterium. RNAcentral's name for it is "partial 16S ribosomal RNA". It matches the Rfam family "Bacterial small subunit ribosomal RNA", at positions 523 to 918 of the family's 1533-position model. The record is from RNAcentral.